RNAcentral lists this ribosomal RNA (258 nucleotides) under uncultured bacterium. Its description in RNAcentral is "partial 16S ribosomal RNA". It matches the Rfam family "Bacterial small subunit ribosomal RNA", at positions 524 to 777 of the family's 1533-position model. The record is from RNAcentral.
UACGGAGGGUGCAAGCGUUAUCCGGAUUCGACUGGGUUUAAAGGGUGCGUAGGUGGGUUGGUAAGUCAGUGGUGAAAUCCGUGGAGCUCAACCUCCAGAACUGCCUUUGAUACUGGCGAUCUUGAGUCCGGGAGAGGUGAGUGGAACUGCGAGUGUAGAGGUGAAAUUCGUAGAUACUUGCAAGAACACCAGUGGCGAACGGCGGCUCACUGGCCCGGUACUGACGACUGAGGUGCGAAAGCGUGGGAGCAAACACGG